Molecule: non-coding RNA, 748 nt
Organism: Onthophagus taurus
Lineage: Eukaryota; Metazoa; Arthropoda; Insecta; Coleoptera; Scarabaeidae
Source: RefSeq, a predicted model, not a curated record
AAGAAAAAAAACAUACCAAGGAGUAUUAUAAAAGAAUUUCAGGAUUCCCUAGUGUGAUAGGUGCAAUAGAUGGAACACAUAUUAAAAUUGAUAAGCCAAAAGAAAGAGAGACCGAUUAUUGCAACAGAAAAGAUUAUUUUUCUAUUAUAUUGCAAGGAACAUGCAAUGAAAAAAAAAUUUAUAGACAUAUUUAUUGGAUAUCCAGGAUCUAUUCAUGAUGCACGUGUCUUCCAAAACUCUUCAUUGUAUAAUUUUUUAUAUAGUGAUGAUGAAGGCAAUUAUUUAGAUUAUUUAACAGUCAGUAGUACAUGUAUAUUUACUUAUUUACAACUACUGUUUGUUUUAUAGAUAGCUAUAUAUUAGGAGAUAGUGCAUAUCCAUUAUCAGAACGUGUAAUGGUGCCAUAUAAAGAUAAUGGACAUCUAACAUCGGCACAGAAACACUUCAAUAGAAAACACAGCCAAUGCCGUGUAUCUAUUGAACACACGUUCGGAUUGUUGAAACAAAGAUGCCGGCAGUUGUAUCACCUGAAGCUUCGUGGCCCAGAAAGAAUUUGUCAUUUCAUUCGUGCAUGUUGUGUUUUACACAAUUUGGCCGAUGAAGAAAACAUAAAUGUUUUACAACAUGAUUCAGUGGAUGAUGUGCAACCAGCAACGCAGGACGAAAAAGAGAACAGAAAUAGAGGAACAGUGUUAAGAAACGAAAUUUGUAAUUAUUUAUUUAUGAAUAGAUAAAAAAUUCAAUCUCA